Long non-coding RNA from Rhododendron vialii, 475 nucleotides. RefSeq lists it as uncharacterized. The record is from RefSeq and is a predicted model, not a curated record. Lineage: Eukaryota; Viridiplantae; Streptophyta; Magnoliopsida; Ericales; Ericaceae. The transcript is spliced from 2 exons.
AACCCUACGCAGAAGACGAAAAUCGAAAAACAACGAAGGAGGUGUAGAAGAUCUGGGGAAGAGGAAGACCGAACAAGAUAUUUGCGAGCCCAAUAUACGAGUACUUGGACACAAGAUACGGCAUCAAGGGAAGUGCACUGGCUUUCCUCUUCAACAAAAAAUUGUGUGCUAAGUAGCAGUUCUUUUGCUGGUUGAAGGAACAUCACCCCCUCUCGUGACAAUAUUAGGCUACUUAAUGCUUGGGAUUUGCCUAAGGGCUGACUGUUCUUUUUAGCUUCUCCUGCAUUGGGUCCAAGGCAAUCCCCUUGCCCUGGCUUCUUCUUGGUUUUCCAUGUACCAAAAAAAGAAAAAAAAAUAAACCGCAACCAUGUAAUGUCGAGACCACUCCGCUCAUUGUAUUUAACCAUGCAAUUGUGUGUUUUGGUUCAUUUGACAGUUGCUGCAAUAAAAUGGGAGUUAUGUAGCUUUUGGAGUU